Phodopus roborovskii (desert hamster) is the source of this 104-nucleotide small nuclear RNA. NCBI's taxonomy places the organism in Eukaryota, Metazoa, Chordata, Mammalia, Rodentia, Cricetidae. The record is from RefSeq and is a predicted model, not a curated record.
GUGCUCACUUCAGCAGCAAAUACACUAAAAUUGGAAGGAAAAAGAAAAAUUAGGAUGGCCCCUGUACAAGGAUGAUAUGCAAAUUUAUAGCAUUCCAUAUUUUU